This is a non-coding RNA of Cucurbita pepo subsp. pepo (vegetable marrow), 1289 nucleotides long. The record is from RefSeq and is a predicted model, not a curated record. NCBI's taxonomy places the organism in Eukaryota, Viridiplantae, Streptophyta, Magnoliopsida, Cucurbitales, Cucurbitaceae.
CUCUCUCUCUCUCUCUGGUAUAUGCUUUCAUAUAUCAAAUAUGCCUGGCUCCCUGUAUGCCAUUAGUAGAGCUCAACGUCGUAGCCGAUGACCUCCGCGGAUGGCGUAUGAGGAGCCAAGCAUAUCCAUAUACAUACAUAUUAUAUGGUCGAGAGUCGCGUCCUCUUACAACAAUAUCACUCGCUUUGUUUUCUUAUACCCCGUCGGGCGUAUCUGGGUUUAGGGUUACUGGGUAUACGUGUUUUAGCUAGUUGAUUUAUGUUGAGCUAACGUCUUUUAAUACUAGCCCGUUGGGCGUGUCUGGGUUUAGGAUUACUGGGUAUACGUGUUUUAAUUAGUUAAGCUAUGUUAAGCUAACGUUUCCCAACACUAGCUCGGGUUUAGGAUUACUGGGUAUACGUGUUUUAGCUAGCUGAGUUAUAUUGAACUAACGUUUCCGAGCAUUAGUCUGUCGGGUGUAUCUGGGUUUAGGAUUACUGGGUAUUCGUGUUUUAGCUAGCUGAGUUAUAUUGAACUAACGUUUCCGAGCAUUAGUCCAUCAGGUGUAUCUGGGUUCAGGAUUACUAGGUAUACGUGUUUAUAAUUAGCUGAGUUAUGUUAAGUUAACGUUUUCGAACACUAACCCGUCGGGCGUAUCUGAAUUCAGGGUUGCAAGGUAUAUGUGUUUUAAUCAGUUGAGCUAACGUCUUCUCGAGAAUUUCUCAUCAUUUUUCACUAUUGCAGGUAGCUAACCCUAGCUUCCAAAGGCUGAUGAAUAAAGCAAAAAAAAACCCUAAUUUCAAAGAUUGCAGCCCAAAGAACACUGACAUUGAAGAGAUGUGUACAAAUGUAGAAUAGCGAAGGAGUGGAAAAGGAAUGCAACCGAAGAUCUGAUUGGUUGAAUCUGAUCGUGUGGUGGUGCGAGUUCCAGAAGGAGGGAGUACGUGGAUCUGGCCACAGAGGAAAGAGCUGGGGAUUCUAUCUUAGGUAGAGUUAUUUGCAUAGGAUCUUAGCCCUGGUUAUAGCCAAUAUAUCUAUAAUGUAAUAAUAAUCUCUCUCUCUCUAAAUUUAUCUUAUUUUCUCUGUCAACCCUUCUGUCUCUCGAUCGUGUAAUUCCCGUGCCCGUACAGGCAAAACCGAGCGAAGAAGGAAUAAGGGGGCAAUAUGGGCAAUGUCUUUAAAAACAUUACUCGUUAUGAGUAUAAAAAGUUCGGAGGUAAAAUUUCGUUUAUUUUACCCUGAUUGUCUUAAUUAGGGUUGUUAUCGAACGAAUCUAUGAAAAUGAUAGGACCCAUAAGGGAAAAAAAUUA